RNAcentral lists this long non-coding RNA (1446 nucleotides) under Capsicum annuum. RNAcentral's name for it is "long non-coding RNA (CANN_LNC007869)". Lineage: Eukaryota; Viridiplantae; Streptophyta; Magnoliopsida; Solanales; Solanaceae. The record is from RNAcentral.
AAAACACGACUUUUUCAUUCAUCAUUAUUUUAUUUUUUUUUUGAAACAGAUUAAAAAAUUCUAAUCCCGAUCACAAGGGGGUUUAUAGGUGCACACACACGUAGAUUGUACACCACUAUCCUCACACCUUGCAUCAACAUAACGUGAUGGAUCCUUUUGAAAAGCAACUUUACAAUAUAAAGGGCAAUCUGGUAAAGUUUCACAAGGCACAUAACCAGUGAAACGAUAUUCACAUAACUUGUCAUCACCAUUCACUUGUGUCAUCAUCAACAUCCCUGUAAAAUCGAGACGUGUUACGAGUUCAGUCGAAUAUAAUAACUUAAUUAUUGAACUGAAGACGAUCAAAAAUUGUUCAAAAUUUAUUUAUUUUUAUUUUUCGGGGUGUGGGGUAGAGGAGGCUGAUAAUUGCGGGGUUAGAAUCAAUCUGUUGUAUAUAUACAAGUAUUUUCUACUAGGAUUGUUCACGAUUUGGUAAACCCAAGGGCGGCACAAGUAUGUUAGUGGCCUAAGUCCAAAAUCAAACGGAGGCCUUAAAAUUUUAAGAAAAAAAGUUAUUUUUUUAACAAAAUCUAUUUUAAAAUUAUAUGCUCGCUUUCUUCUCAUAAGUCUCUUUUAGUUAGUGAUAUAAUCAAUACAUUUAAUUUUUCUUGAGAUAUAAUACUCCAAAUAUGUCAAAAUUCUACUAAUAAUACUUUUAUUAUACAUAAAAAAUUUAUUUUUUACACAUAAUAUAUAUAUUAUUACUUAAAAAAUGAGGCCCUCAGAUUUAGGGGCCUUAGGCGAUACCUUUUUUUCAACAGGGUAGGUCCGCCCCUGGGUAAACCAAGUUGAAAAAUCGAAUCAAACCUAGUACAUAAACCAAACUUCACUUGUUUGGUUUGGUUUUGAUUUUAUUCAAAAAAAAAAAAAAAAAUUGAAGAAAGAGCCUAAUCGAAUUCACAAUGUGUAUAUACAUUUUUUGUAAUUAUAAAUACAUAAUAUAACUUAAUUAUUGAUGGGAGGCUAUUGGGAUUUGCCCAAAUUUUGUUUGUUUUUCUAUUUUGAGGUGAGGAUGAGGGAGGUUGAUAAUUGCAGGGUUAGAAUCAGUAUAUGUGUAUACAAAUUCUUUUUAAAAACACAAGUAUCGAAUAACUCGAACACGUCAAAUUUUAAACAAAAAUAAAAAAAAUCAAAUAUCAUUUUUUUUAUUUCUACUAAGAUUUGAAUUAUGAUCUAUUGUGAUUGUCAUCUACCGCAAGGUUAACAUUUUAUUUCCUCUUAAUUUAAUAAAAAUAAAUUUAAAUAAAGAGAAGGAAUAUUUACUUUCAAAAUCAAAUAGAAACUGUAGAUGCAUACUUACCACAAAAGCAAGCAAUGAGGAUAAUAGAAGAUCGAAAAGAAACACCAAAGUUUUCCAUUGAAUAAUUUUGUGAAUAAAAUUGUUAUAUUAUCUCUCUUUUAUAAUAG